UCCCUUGUGGCUCAGCUGGUAAAGAAUCCACCUGCAAUGUGGGGGACCUGGGUUCAAUCCCCAGGUUGGGAA
Molecule: transfer RNA, 72 nt
Filed under: Bos taurus (domestic cattle)
Lineage: Eukaryota; Metazoa; Chordata; Mammalia; Artiodactyla; Bovidae
Also listed under: 2 other names
Rfam family: tRNA
About the family: Transfer RNA (tRNA) molecules are approximately 80 nucleotides in length. Their secondary structure includes four short double-helical elements and three loops (D, anti-codon, and T loops). Further hydrogen bonds mediate the characteristic L-shaped molecular structure. tRNAs have two regions of fundamental functional importance: the anti-codon, which is responsible for specific mRNA codon recognition, and the 3' end, to which the tRNAs corresponding amino acid is attached (by aminoacyl-tRNA synthetases). tRNAs cope with the degeneracy of the genetic code in two manners: having more than one tRNA (with a specific anti-codon) for a particular amino acid; and 'wobble' base-pairing, i.e. permitting non-standard base-pairing at the 3rd anti-codon position.
Source: Rfam by way of RNAcentral